GUAGAGUUGUCUUUUUUUUUUAGUAGAAUUAAAAAUGCCUUCUAUUUCAAGGAUCGCUGGGAGAAAUCUGCAUUCCUUAGGUGGUUUUAGGUGGAAAUCUCAAGCCCCUCCCCAAGAAUCUACCUUUGUUAAAAGUGAUUCUGGGCCGGGGAUUUAGCUCAGCAGCUCUGUUGCCUGCCUCGCAAGCGCAAGGACCCGAGUUCGAUCCCCGGUACAAAAAAAAAAAAGUGAUUUUAUUCAUCUGUGGACCCAAGGCCAUUUUGGCUUCCCUGACAUGCUUCCAAAUUAAAAUCAUAAAUAAUGGCAAAGGAAAAUGAAAUGCUAGAAACUGCUUCUUGCCUCCUUGCCCCUUUUCUAUUCUGAAAAUCUUCUUGAAACAAUUUAAAGUGGCCAAGAACUUAGGCAGGGGGAAUAAGGCCAGAAUUCAAAAAUGAACAGGGCUAUUUAAAGCAUAUUAAAUGCAUGUUUCCUCCUGACAUUUCACUUCUCCCUCUUUUAAUUAUGUGGAGAGAACCGAGUUGGCCAGAGAUUGUGCUUCCCGCAAAGAUAUCUCGGGCAGAGCCACACAGUGCCUGAGCAAAGCAACGAAGAGGCUGUGUGGGUACCCUGCAGCAGCAGUGCGGUUUGAAUAUGGCGACACCAAGACUGCAGGGCAAGGACAGCUGAAGUGAAACCGGAUGGAAGCUUCAGUCUUUCCAGUGACCCAGCCACCUCCCAAGUCAAGAAAGGCCUAAGCAGCACUGAUGCUGUUCUGGGGACCAAAGCUGGAGGUGCUGUUGGGUAGAGCAGGGGAAGAAGAGGCAUGAAUAACAGCACUGAGCUGAGCCAGUCUGUUUGAGAGGUCAGGCUCAGUUCACCCAGGCACAACCUAAGAAAACCGAGCUCACUGCUCUCAGGAGCCCCCUCCCUUGAUCCUAUCAGGCCAUCUGUGGGAGGAGGACACAACCUAAGGGGAAUUCCAGGGACCAGGCAUCUCCAGAAAAACAUGCUGAGGCCCCAGGCAGCCCUACCUUGCCUUCCCCACCAAUUCCAGCAGCCCACUCAUUUAUCUUUUUCAUUAAAAAAGAGAGGCAUUUCUUCCCUGAAGGGCACCCAGUAGAAAGCUGCCUUCCUUCCUUUGUUAUUGAGCAUGCUUUGACAGAAUGUACAAUUUCUUCUGAUCUGUUAUACGUCAACAUCCAAGUAUGUAAGUACGUUCCAGAAGUAUGUUCUCAAGCACCUCCUGUUACCCAGAGAAGCUGUGUAUUAGUAUGAAAUUGAACAUGAUAACCAACCAGUGCUUUUAACCUAGGUGAGAAAAUCAGAGAAAGCAGAAAUCCCAGAACCCCUGGCUGCAGAGUUACAAUUCCACAUGCUGCCCUGUGUGACUGUGGACAAGUGCCCCCAUGCCUCGACAGGCCAAUUUUCUGAGGAUACUGGGCAGUCUCCAGGUUCUCUUACAGCUCCAACUUUCUAUGAUUCUCUAAGACUUGGCAGCAAAGCACACACAGCACAGCAGGGAGCACAGAGUAGACUGUCUGAGAGACUCCCCAGGGCCCACACUGGCAGAAAGAAUAAGGGUGGUGUGCACAGGAAGGGGUAAAGCCUGCUGCAGAACGAGCAUGAGCUUUAAACAACUGAAAUAUCAUUUUUCACCUACCAGACUGGCAAAAAGGAAAAAGGAAACUACCUUGGGGGAAGCUGGCACUCUCAAACAAUGCUGUUGGGAACACAUUUUGAAAUAGCUUUCCAAGAAAGGAAUUCAGCAGUAAGCAUGAAAACCCUGAAACAUGUGCACAUUUUUUGACCCAGCGAUGAACCCUUCCUAGUGAUAUAACUCAGGGAAAUAAUUGGGCAAAAAAAGACAAAGGGAUAUGAAGACAGAUGUUCACUUUUCCAGCAUUGUUGCCAACACUGGGAAACAGUAGAAACUGUGUGUUUAUUAUGUGCAGUAGGUAAAAUGCUAUCUAUAAGGUAAAAUGAUGGAAUGGAUCCUUGUAAAAGUGACAUGGAAAUCUACGUGCCUGUGUCUGUGUGUCUCCCAGAGGGUGGGCAAGAAGGGGAGGAAAAGAACAGGGAAGCCACAGAAAGCAAUAUAUGCAAUGCUGCUAUUCCCCCCCCCCAUUAAGUUUAUUGGUACAUUUUUGGUAUAAAAUACAGUUACAUUUAUG
RNAcentral lists this long non-coding RNA (2150 nucleotides) under Heterocephalus glaber (naked mole-rat). Its description in RNAcentral is "lncRNA (ENSHGLG00100050104.1)". Lineage: Eukaryota; Metazoa; Chordata; Mammalia; Rodentia; Bathyergidae. The record is from RNAcentral.